RNAcentral lists this transfer RNA (74 nucleotides) under Otolemur garnettii (small-eared galago). It matches the Rfam family "tRNA". From Rfam's summary of the family: Transfer RNA (tRNA) molecules are approximately 80 nucleotides in length. Their secondary structure includes four short double-helical elements and three loops (D, anti-codon, and T loops). The record is from Rfam by way of RNAcentral. Lineage: Eukaryota; Metazoa; Chordata; Mammalia; Primates; Galagidae.
GUGCCUGUGGCUCAAAGGAGUAGGGCACUGGCUCCAUAUGCCAGAGGUGGCAGGUUCAAACCCAGCCCUGGCCA